Cicer arietinum (chickpea) is the source of this 1437-nucleotide non-coding RNA. The record is from RefSeq and is a predicted model, not a curated record. NCBI's taxonomy places the organism in Eukaryota, Viridiplantae, Streptophyta, Magnoliopsida, Fabales, Fabaceae.
UCUAGUCAUUUUCACUUAUCUCUUUAGAUUGCAACUCUAAACAAGAAACCCUUCUUCUUCUUUGAGCCACCGCUCCGGCCACAACGAUUCAGAUCCGGCUUCGACGUUUGUUCUCUCUCAUUCACAUGUUCUCUCUCUCGUUCUGUCUCGUUCGCUCUCUCUCUCUCUCGUUCUGUCUAGUUCUCUCUCUCGGUCUCUCGUUCUGUCUCAUUCGCUCUCUCUCACUCUCUCUCUCUUUCUCUCGCUCAUUCUGGUUUGCUCUCUCUAAUUUGUUCUAUUUUUAGGAUUAUUGGUUGAGUAAAGGAAGCAAGAAAUGAUUUCUUAAUUGAUUUGCAAAUCCUCUUUUCUUUUUCUCAGCUCACUGAAAUCCCUAACAUCUCAAAUUCAUUGUUGCAUUCUAGAACACAUUCUUCUUCACUUGUAAGAACUUGAAAAUCCCUAACAUCACCAAUAGUGACGUAAUGUGUAUCGGGGCUUGUCUUUUGUGAUUUCUUCAACCACGUCGACCUGGACAGAGCACUCUGUUAGUUGUGACCAAACUGAAAUCAGUUCCCUUCGUGAUUCCUUUCUUUGUUGUUGAUCUUGUUUCCUUUUUUUUUUUACCGUUGCUAGAGGAUCUCAUGUCUUGGAUAUUUUAGGUGGUGAUAAAAGCGACUCAAAAUGGUUGGUCGAUCAGCGAAAGAAAGAGGUGAAGAUAAUGAAAAGAUGGAUUGCUGAAUAUUAUGUUGCUGAGCUUGUGUAAAGAUUAAGGAGAACUAUGUUUGGGUGGAGAAAGUUCAAUGGAUGGUAAUCUGAUGAAUUUAUGAUCGAUAAUGCUGUUACCUUCAAAGCAUUAUUGGUGUACAUAGAGAAGAAGCUUACAAAAAUACAAACACUUUGAGUUAUUUAAACUCAGCACAAGCUCUUGUGAAUUAUGCACAAGUGGUAAUACAUUUGAAGGAAACGUUACAACCCUGUCGUGAUGGGAGGAUCCUAUGGUGGAAUGCUUGCUGCAUGGUUUAGGUUGAAAUAUCCCCACAUCACGAUUGGGGCUUUGGCGUCAUCAGCUCCACUUCUCUACUUAAUGCAUAUUAUGAUGUUGUUUCAGGGGAUUUCAAGGAAGCCAGUAAGAUAAUGCACAUAAAUACUUCGGUUGAGAUUGACAGGUAUGUACUGGUAAUGCCUAUUGGCAUAAGAAAGGGUACCAUGUUUCAACUCGACCCUUUUAACUUGAAGAACUUUGUUGAAAAUUGCUACAAAAAAUUUGGUUACUCCAAUUUGCUUCGCCCUCAUUGGAUCACUACUUAUUAUGGAGACCAUGUAAAAAAUAUUGUUUAGAUCAUAAGGUUAUAUCAUUAGCAACAUAAAAUUAAGAGCAAUAUAUUUGAACACAAUACUAAACACAAAUACUUGUGGCCAUACACAAUCUCUCUCUUCAUUAAAUUUUUUUUUUUUUUA